CCAGAAUGAAAUAUCUGAAAAACAGGUACCGGUUUUUUGUCCUAUAUGACGUUUCGUAGACAUUUUUUUACAUAUGUAGACCAGUAAAUUGAAUAUUGUCAGAUAUAUCAUACUCUGUUUUAAUGUGUAAUCUGUAAAUUUUUACAUAAAUCAUAAAACAUUAUUAAGUUUACUUGGACUUACUGGCGGCCGUUAUUAAAGUAAAAAGUCUGUAGUGCGGCCGUUAUUAAAGUAA
Polypterus senegalus (gray bichir) is the source of this 235-nucleotide long non-coding RNA. RefSeq lists it as uncharacterized. Lineage: Eukaryota; Metazoa; Chordata; Cladistia; Polypteriformes; Polypteridae. The record is from RefSeq and is a predicted model, not a curated record. The transcript has 3 exons.